GAGUUUGAUCCUGGCUCAGAACGAACGCUGGCGGCAUGCCUAACACAUGCAAGUCGAACGAGACCUUCGGGUCUAGUGGCGCACGGGUGCGUAACGCGUGGGAAUCUGCCCUUGGGUUCGGAAUAACAGUUAGAAAUGACUGCUAAUACCGGAUGAUGACUUCGGUCCAAAGAUUUAUCGCCCAAGGAUGAGCCCGCGUAAGAUUAGGUAGUUGGUGGGGUAAAGGCCUACCAAGCCGACGAUCUUUAGCUGGUCUGAGAGGAUGAUCAGCCACACUGGGACUGAGACACGGCCCAGACUCCUACGGGAGGCAGCAGUGGGGAAUAUUGGACAAUGGGCGAAAGCCUGAUCCAGCAAUGCCGCGUGAGUGAUGAAGGCCUUAGGGUCGUAAAGCUCUUUUACCCGGGAUGAUAAUGACAGUACCGGGAGAAUAAGCCCCGGCUAACUCCGUGCCAGCAGCCGCGGUAAUACGGAGGGGGCUAGCGUUGUUCGGAAUUACUGGGCGUAAAGCGCACGUAGGCGGUUAUUCAAGUCAAAGGUGAAAGCCCGGGGCUCAACCCCGGAACGGCCUUUGAAACUAGAUGACUAGAAUCUUGGAGAGGCGAGUGGAAUUCCGAGUGUAGAGGUGAAAUUCGUA
This 637-nucleotide ribosomal RNA is filed under the name uncultured eubacterium WD2110. RNAcentral describes it as "bacterial SSU rRNA". It matches the Rfam family "Bacterial small subunit ribosomal RNA", at positions 9 to 692 of the family's 1533-position model. The record is from RNAcentral.